This 513-nucleotide ribosomal RNA is filed under the name uncultured Sulfurospirillum sp. Its description in RNAcentral is "bacterial SSU rRNA". It matches the Rfam family "Bacterial small subunit ribosomal RNA", at positions 52 to 584 of the family's 1533-position model. The record is from RNAcentral. Lineage: Bacteria; Pseudomonadati; Campylobacterota; Epsilonproteobacteria; Campylobacterales; Sulfurospirillaceae.
CACAUGCAAGUCGAACGGACUUAAGGGGCUUGCUUCUUAAGUUAGUGGCGCACGGGUGAGUAAUAUAUAGCUAACCUGCCCUUUAGUGGGGGACAACAGUUGGAAACGACUGCUAAUACCCUAUACUCCUUCUUGUCUUAAGACGAGUCGGGAAAGAUUUAUCGCUAAAGGAUGGGGCUUUAUUGUAUCAGCUAGUUGGUGAGGUAAUGGCUCACCAAGGCAAUGACGCAUACCUGGUCUGAGAGGAUGAUCAGGCACACUGGAACUGAGACACGGUCCAGACUCCUACGGGAGGCAGCAGUGGGGAAUAUUGCACAAUGGAGGAAACUCUGAUGCAGCAACGCCGCGUGGAGGAUGACGCAUUUCGGUGUGUAAACUCCUUUUAUAGGGGAAGAUAAUGACGGUACCCUAUGAAUAAGCACCGGCUAACUCCGUGCCAGCAGCCGCGGUAAUACGGAGGGUGCAAGCGUUACUCGGAAUCACUGGGCGUAAAGGAUGCGUAGGCUGGAAAUC